Oncorhynchus tshawytscha (Chinook salmon) is the source of this 339-nucleotide long non-coding RNA. The record is from Ensembl. NCBI's taxonomy places the organism in Eukaryota, Metazoa, Chordata, Actinopteri, Salmoniformes, Salmonidae.
CUCUCAUCUUAUUUCCUCUAAUACAUUGUGAAAGAUGUUUCUCAAGGUGGACCAUCCCAGGAUCAGGAAAAUGAUCUCCCCCUGUCACCCAGAGACAGACAGAACCGGGCUACGGAGGUCCGAUCUCCCCCUGUCACCCAGAGACAGACAGAACCGGGCUACGGAGGUCCGAUCUCCCCCUGUCACCCAGAGACAGACAGAACCGGGCUACGGAGGUCCGAUCUCCCCCUGUCACCCAGAGACAGGCUGAUGCGGGUCGGUAUUGGCUCUCAUUGGUCUCUUUGUAUCUGAUAAAUGUCACCACUACCAGCGGGUUUGUACAUAAUGCAGGGAGCUGGG